Electrophorus electricus (electric eel) is the source of this 746-nucleotide long non-coding RNA. RefSeq lists it as uncharacterized. The record is from RefSeq and is a predicted model, not a curated record. NCBI's taxonomy places the organism in Eukaryota, Metazoa, Chordata, Actinopteri, Gymnotiformes, Gymnotidae.
CAGACACAUUUCAAACAGUUCAAUUCUUUGAGGAGAGCUCUUUCCUGUUCCUGCAUGGCUGUACCACUCAUCAGGAGGAGCUAAACGAGACAAACGGAUCCACUUUGGGCAGGCAAAGCCUGUACACAAGAGUGGAGGGUGCUCCAACUACAAAGGGAGAAUAAACUCUUAACGCUUAUGGCUUCGGAAUAGGAUGUCCAACAAGCUCGUAUGGCGGUUCAAGUGUUUGGCCAGAACGAACCUCCAGAAAGAGGUUCAAAGGCCUCUGGCAUAGAUUCUACAAAUCUCCGGAAUUCUUCCAAAAGAUAUUCCUUUAGCUGAAGUUUUGAUGGAGAGUAAUGUCUAGUAUAGAAGCCCAAAAUCUCCCAUAAGUGUUGAUCUUUGCUGAGAUCUGGCAACUGCACGGUGAUAGAAUAUGAUUUACAGGAUUUUCAUACCCAUCAAAUCAUUCAGUGAUCUCGUGUUUUGUGGAUUUGGGCAUUGUCCACCUGGAAGAGACCAGUCCCAUCAAGCCAAAGAUUCUUCAUAAUUGGAUAAAGGUGAUCAGUCAGGAUAACUCUAUUGACCCGCAGUGACCCUUCCCUCUAAAGGGCCAAUUGAUCCUGACAGCAUAAAGCUAAUAAAUGCUUGGUAUGAAAGUUAUGCUUCUGGUUAUGCGAGAUAUAUUAGGAUAUCUGCUAUUGGUGUGUAUUAAGUGAAUAUUGCCUAAGGUUGUGCCAAAAAGCUUUCCUUUUCAUAACUGAAGA